This is a non-coding RNA of Podarcis lilfordi (Lilford's wall lizard), 74 nucleotides long. The record is from the annotation of a GenBank genome assembly. NCBI's taxonomy places the organism in Eukaryota, Metazoa, Chordata, Lepidosauria, Squamata, Lacertidae.
UGCCAGUCAGCUCAGUUGGUCACAGUGUGGUGCUGGUAACACCAAAGUCAUGGGUUUGAUCCCCGUAUUGGCAC